CCUACGGGUGGCAGCAGUGAGGAAUAUUGGUCAAUGGGCUUACGCCUGAACCAGCCAAGUCGCGUGAGGGAAGACUGCCCUCUGGGUUGUAAACCUCUUUUGUCAGGGAGCAACGCCGGCUACGUGUAGACGGACUGAGAGUCCUUGACUAAAAAGCAUCGGCAAACUCCGUGCCAGCAGCCGCGGUAAUACGGAGGAUGCGAGCGUUAUCCGGAUUGAUUGGGUUUAAAGGGUGCGUAGGCGGAAGGCCACUUCAGCGGUAAAAUCGCGGGGCUCAACCGCGCUCCGCCGUUGAUACUGGCGUGCUUGAGUGGGCGAGAGGUAUGCGGAAUGCGAGGUGUAGCGGUGAAAUGCAUAGAUAUCACGCAGAACUCCGAUUGCGAAGGCAGCAUACCGGCGCCCAACUGACGCUGAUGCGCGAAAGCGUGGGUAUCGAACAGGAUUAGAUACCCUUGUAGUC
RNAcentral lists this ribosomal RNA (460 nucleotides) under uncultured bacterium. Its description in RNAcentral is "partial 16S ribosomal RNA". It matches the Rfam family "Bacterial small subunit ribosomal RNA", at positions 338 to 795 of the family's 1533-position model. The record is from RNAcentral.